Long non-coding RNA from Rhinopithecus roxellana (golden snub-nosed monkey), 774 nucleotides. RefSeq lists it as uncharacterized. NCBI's taxonomy places the organism in Eukaryota, Metazoa, Chordata, Mammalia, Primates, Cercopithecidae. The record is from RefSeq and is a predicted model, not a curated record. The transcript has 3 exons.
CACUGGGAGGGGAGCAGUUGUAGUUGUGACUUCUCUCGGGCCUGCCAUGCUCUGCCAUGGAGGUGGAGUGGCAUGAAGUUUAGCUGCUUCACCUCAAUCUGCUCAAGAGUGGGGACUGCUGAGAGCAGUGGAUGGGGGACAGUGGAAUUGCAGCCUGGGAUGUGAAACGGGGAUCCUGUUACCUGCAGCUGCAGUCUUCACGUGUCCUCAUCUUUUGUGACUGCCCUAGGGCCCUGAGCUGAGCAAGACAGACAAACAGGAGGAAGUAUUAAUCUUUCUGCUUCUACCUCAUCCACUAGGAAGUUUGGAGGACCAAUCCAGUUAUACCCACUGCCUUGGAACCUGACAGAUCCAGGGCACAGAGAGACACAUGUGCAUGCUCCAGCUCCCAGUAUUCAUACAGAUAUGGUGAAGGGUGGGUGGAGUUAUAUUCUUACAGUUUGGUAUGAAUCAUGUGAGGGGUUGGGAGGUAGAGGAUGAAAUUCUCAGACCUUCUGAACAGUCCAAGGUCAGUUCUCAGAAAUCAGAUGUUGGUUGUUUAGCCAUCACACCCUUGGAUUUAUGAGUUGGACCUAGAGGAUUUGAUCGUUUCUGUGACAGAGGUAUCAUCCUGUUCCCGGAAAACUGGCGACACGUUGACAUGCAGGAACCUGGUCAGAUUUAUGGCUUGUUUCUAACCAACGUUUAGGCAUUCCGCCCUUUAAAAACAAAUUUCACUGAUUUUUUCAUGUAUCUAACAAGGGCCAGGUGCUGAAUUCUCAAAGAUAAAUAAAA